Xyrichtys novacula (pearly razorfish) is the source of this 603-nucleotide non-coding RNA. The record is from the annotation of a GenBank genome assembly. Lineage: Eukaryota; Metazoa; Chordata; Actinopteri; Labriformes; Labridae.
CUUAAGAAGAAGGCCAAGCAGCAGGACACAGAGGUUAGAAAACUGCCUUCUAAAAACAGUAUUAUCUCAGUCGGAGUCCUUCAAAAUGCACAUGUAAUUGAUGUUUCUUUUCAAAUUGACUUGUCCAGGAAACCAUGACACAGACGACAUCUGAUGUCCAAAGAGUGUGCAUGGCAGAUUCCAUGAAAUUCUGUGUCUACCAGACAUCCGACACCACAGGAGAGAGGUUUGUUGCAGACUCAAUUUAAUAAAUGCAAUUAUCAGGGCCUAUUCAGUGAUUUUCCAUGAAGUGACCACUUUUACAUAUAGUUUAUUUGCACAAAUCAUGUGGUAAAAUUAUUUAAACAUUCAAAUGUGCUGCUGAGGUAUAAUCAAUUGGACAGCGUGUGUGUUUAAUAUUAAGUUUGUCUCUCAUUUGAUCAGAUUGCUUUACCCUGAGGUAAAGUUUGUAAAAUGGGUCCAGUGCAAGACAUGCAGGGGCUGGCUGCAUCAAGAUUGUGCCGGGAUUGACAUGGAGCCCUUUGACUGUGGCUACGAGGACUCCAUUGAGCAUCCUCGGUAUAACAUAAUUUAUCAAAGAAACAUAGUAUCAGUCAAAAAUAC